GGGUGCGUGGCGCAAUGGCUAGCGUGUUUGGCUUCGAUGCUUACGUAAUUGCUACCAUACCAAAAGGCUGCAGGUUCGAGUCCUGCCGUGCUCA
Molecule: non-coding RNA, 94 nt
Organism: Mycena galopus ATCC 62051
Lineage: Eukaryota; Fungi; Basidiomycota; Agaricomycetes; Agaricales; Mycenaceae
Source: the annotation of a GenBank genome assembly